Molecule: ribosomal RNA, 253 nt
Filed under: uncultured bacterium
Lineage: Bacteria
Description: partial 16S ribosomal RNA
Rfam family: Bacterial small subunit ribosomal RNA
Source: RNAcentral
UACGUAGGGUCCGAGCGUUGUCCGGAAUUACUGGGCGUAAAGCGCGCGCAGGCGGUCUUCCAAGUCAGUGGUGAAAGCCCGGAGCUCAACUCCGGAACUGCCAUUGAAACUGUAAGACUUGAGGAUGAGAGAGGUGAGUGGAAUUCCCAGUGUAGAGGUGAAAUUCGUAGAUAUUCGCAAGAACACCAGUGGCGAAGGCGGCUCACUGGCCCGGUACUGACGCUGAGGUGCGAAAGCGUGGGGAGCAAACAGG